This 2659-nucleotide long non-coding RNA is filed under the name Homo sapiens (human). Its description in RNAcentral is "HSALNT0395474". Lineage: Eukaryota; Metazoa; Chordata; Mammalia; Primates; Hominidae. The record is from RNAcentral.
UCUGGCACCCUGCCCAGAGGCGUGAGCCCCUGCCUCACACUGGCUCCUCCCACGCUGAGAGAGGUCAGUGUGAGCCCCUUGCCUCACACCGGCCCCUCCCACGCUGAGAGAGGUCAGAGUGAGCCCCUUGUCUCACACCGGCCCCUCCCACGUGGACAGAGGUCAGCGUGAGCCCCUUGCCUCACACCGGCCCCUCCCACGCUGAGAGAGGUCAGUGUGAGCCCUUGCCUCACACCGGCCCCUCCCACGCGGACAGAGGUCAGCGUGAGCCCCUUGCCUCACACCGGCCCCUCCCACGCUGAGAGAGGUCAGUGUGAGCCCUUGCCUCACCCCGGCCCCUCCCACGUGGACAGAGGUCAGUGUGAGCCCUUGCCUCACCCCGGCCCCUCCCACGUGGACAGAGGUCAGCGUGAGCCCCUUGUCUCACACCGGCCCCUCCCACGCUGAGAGAGGUCAGCCCGAGCCCCUUGCCUCACACCGGCCCCUCCCACGCUGAGAGAGGUGUGAGCCCCUUGUCUCACACCGGCCCCUCCCACGCGGACAGAGGUCAGCGUGAGCCCCUUGCCUCACACCGGCCCCUCCCACGCUGAGAGAGGUCAGUGUGAGCCCUUGCCUCACACCGGCCCCUCCCACGCGGACAGAGGUCAGCGUGAGCCCCUUGCCUCACACCGGCCCCUCCCACGCUGAGAGAGGUCAGUGUGAGCCCUUGCCUCACACCGGCCCCUCCCACGCGGACAGAGGUCAGCGUGAGCCCCUUGCCUCACCCCGGCCCCUCCCACGCUGAGAGAGGUCAGUGUGAGCCCUUGCCUCACACCGGCCCCUCCCACGCGGACAGAGGUCAGCGUGAGCCCCUUGCCUCACCCCGGCCCCUCCCACGCUGAGAGAGGUCAGUGUGAGCCCUUGCCUCACACCGGCCCCUCCCACGCGGACAGAGGUCAGCGUGAGCCCCUUGCCUCACACCGGCCCCUCCCACGCUGAGAGAGGUCAGUGUGAGCCCUUGCCUCACACCGGCCCCUCCCACGCGGACAGAGGUCAGCGUGAGCCCCUUGCCUCACCCCGGCCCCUCCCACGCUGAGAGAGGUCAGUGUGAGCCCUUGCCUCACACCGGCCCCUCCCACGCGGACAGAGGUCAGCGUGAGCCCCUUGCCUCACCCCGGCCCCUCCCACGCUGAGAGAGGUCAGUGUGAGCCCUUGCCUCACACCGGCCCCUCCCACGCGGACAGAGGUCAGCGUGAGCCCCUUGCCUCACACCGGCCCCUCCCACGCUGAGAGAGGUCAGUGUGAGCCCUUGCCUCACACCGGCCCCUCCCACGCGGACAGAGGUCAGCGUGACCCCCUGCCUCAACAGGCCACCGUGAGGGAGGAACAGGAUCGCACUCGGGCUGCUGGGAGGUAGGCAGGGACUUGGGCCUGGGAGGUCGCGGUGGGGCGAGAGCUGGGCCUGGAGACUCCCCUGGGAGGCAACAGCGGGGUCUGCAGACGCCCUUCUCCAGCCGGAGCUGGGACUGUUCAGUCACUGGGAGAAGGGAUGUGGGUCUGAAGAGCUUGGUUGCAGAAACUUCGGGGUCUACAAACGCAGGCGGGAGCUGAGCCAAAAGAGCUUGUUUGCUGGGAGGUGGGAGAUGCAGCCAGGAGGAACAGCUGGGCAAUGCGGGAGGCAGAGGCCAGGCCUCCUCAAGUUGGCCUCUCAGACCCACUUGCAGCCUCCCGGCGCCCCCUCCGGGCCCAGCUCUUCCUCCCGGCUGCAUCUCCAGGCCGGACUCUGGCCCGACUCCAGGUCCCAACAACGUCUUUGGACUCAGCUCCUGCCCAGCUCCCAGCGGCCCUGGUAGGCCCACAACUUCCCUAAGCCAAGCUCCCCAGGCCCAGCUCAGGCCUCGCGGUGGCCUCUCCAGGCUCAGCUCCUGGCCCUCCGAUGACAUCUGCAGGCCCCAAAUGGCCUCCGGUCGGUGGGCUCCUCUAGGCCCAGCUUGGGCCUCCCGGCGGCCUCCGCAGGCCCAAAUCGUCCCGAAGUCAGUCUCUCCAGGCUUAGCUCCAGCCUCCCGGCGGCCUCUGCAGGCCCAAGUCGUCCUCAAGUCGGCCUGGAAGUGGGCCUGGAAGAGCAGCAAGUCGGCCUCCCUGGGCCCAGCUCCGUCCUCUCGACGGCCUCUCCAGGUGCAAAACUUCCUCGAGUCAGCCUCUCCAGGCCCAGCUCCUCCUGCCUCCCAGUGGCCUCUUUCAGCCCAGCCCAGCUCAUGGCUCUCGGCGGCCUUCGCAGGCCCUGCUUUUGACUUUUGGCAGCCUCUUCAGGCGCAGAACUUGAUCUCCAGUCGGCCUUUGCAGGCCCGGCCUCCUGCCUCUCGAAGGCCUGCACGGGCCCGGCCUCGGCCUCGGCCUCACAGCGGACUCUCCACGCCCAGCUAGCUCUCGCCUCACUGCGGCCUCCCCAGUCCAAAGCUCCUGCCUUUCGGCCACUUCGGCAGGUCCAGCUCCUGCCUGCCAGUGGCCUCUUUAGGCCCAGCUCAUUCCUCACGUCGGCCAUUCCAGGCCCCGUUUUUCCCUUCCGGCAGCCUCUUGGCCUCUAAUUUGUUUAUCUUUUGUGUAUAAAUCCCAAAAUAUUGAAUUUUGGAAUAUUUCCACCAUUAUGUAAAUGUUUUGGUAGGUAAUUUAUUUGGAGUGA